Molecule: ribosomal RNA, 253 nt
Filed under: uncultured bacterium
Lineage: Bacteria
Description: partial 16S ribosomal RNA
Rfam family: Bacterial small subunit ribosomal RNA
Source: RNAcentral
UACGGAGGAUGCAAGCGUUAUCCGGAAUGAUUGGGCGUAAAGCGUCCGCAGGUGGCGAUGUAAGUCUGCUGUUAAAGAGUGAGGCUCAACCUCAUAAGAGCAGUGGAAACUACAUAGCUAGAGUACGUUCGGGGCAGAGGGAAUUCCUGGUGUAGCGGUGAAAUGCGUAGAGAUCAGGAAGAACACCAGUGGCGAAGGCGCUCUGCUAGGCCGUAACUGACACUGAGGAGCGAAAGCGUGGGGAGCGAACAGG